Molecule: RNA transcript, 3766 nt
Organism: Hemicordylus capensis (graceful crag lizard)
Lineage: Eukaryota; Metazoa; Chordata; Lepidosauria; Squamata; Cordylidae
Gene: CASC3
Gene name: CASC3 exon junction complex subunit
Exons: 15
Source: RefSeq, a predicted model, not a curated record
GCGUUGUAUCCGCCUCCGUCUCCUUACUGUGUGUUUGCUUCUUGUUUCUGCUCGGUGCUGCCAAGAUGGCGGAUCGACGGAGGCAGCGCGCUUCUCAGGACAGUAGUGAGGAAGACGAAUCUGACUCGCCGCCCGGCAGCGCCGCCGCUUCCCCCCGCGGCACCCUCCGCCCUGGCUUGGCCGUGGCCGCCGCUGGCGGCAGUACAGGCGGCAAUGAGAGUGCUUGUGUCGAGAGUGUGGAAGCGGCGGUGGUGACGGUGGGAGGCAGCCCGGCCGACUCGGAGUGUGAAAGUGAAGACGGCAUAGAAGGAGAUGCUGUUCUCUCUGACUAUGAAAGUGCUGAGGACUCUGAGGGUGAGGAGGGGGAAUACAGCGAGGAAGAAACAUCCAAAGUGGACCUGAAGCAGGAUAAUAAUGACACUAAUGUGCUGGCAACAAAGGUGGACAAAGGGGAUGAAAAGCCAGAUUCUAAAGGUACUGUGGCAGGCGAGAGGCAGAGUGGAGAUGGACAGGAAAGCACUGAACAAGUUGAGAACAAGGUAGGCAAAAAAGUUCCCAAACAUCUGGAUGAUGACGAGGACAGGAAGAACCCUGCAUACAUACCUCGCAAAGGUCUCUUCUUUGAACACGACCUUCGUGGGCAGACCCAGGAAGAGGAAGUCCGGCCUAAGGGUCGUCAGCGUAAGCUUUGGAAAGAUGAGGGAAGGUGGGAGCAUGAUAAGUUCCGGGAGGAUGAGCAAGCACCAAAAUCAAGGCAGGAGCUGAUUGCUCUCUAUGGGUAUGAUAUCCGCUCAGCACACAACCCUGAUGACAUCAAACCCAGGAGGGUGCGCAAACCAAGGUUUGGGAGUCCACCACAGAGAGAGCCCAACUGGGCCAACGAGCGACCUAGUAAGCCGCCACGACACCAGAGCCUCGACAGUACUCCUAUACCACCUCGGACGUUCAUCAACCGGAACUCUGCAGGGACAGGACGGAUGCCCCCACCACGGACUUUCCCAAGACCUGGUGGCUACAAAGAGACCCGCCCAAGCUACCGUGCCGUGGAUGUAAAUAGUCAGCAUGCGCCUCGCUUUAGUGAGCAGUCAAAGCAUGAGAGCAGUUACCGGCCCAGGCGCUCAGAGCCGCUCCCACCACGAGAACCCUCUCCUGAGGCGGAGGUUCCGUAUGUUCGCAGCAGCCCUGUUAAAAAGGAAGAGGUUGUACCAGAAAGCCCAACAACUCCUGCAGAUUCUCUACCACCACCACCACCACCAGAUAGACCUGUGGAAAAGAAGUCCUACUCACGGGCAAGGAGGAGCCGGACCAAAGCAGGCGAGACAGGGAAAUUGGCAGAUGAAGUCCCACUUCCAUCAGGGUUGACACCUGCAGCGCUGAAAACUGCAGAGGUUAUACCAUCCCCCUCGCCGGCAAAGACUGGGAACUGGGAGGUGCCUGUUGAAGCGAAUCUAGAGAGUCUUGAGCAAGACAUGACCCAGCUGAAUAUAACGGAGCAGAAUUGGAACCCAGGGCAGCCCCAGUUCAUAGCACCUCAAGCAGGUAUUCCUAACCAGAUGCACAUUGGCGCAGCCCCACCACCUCAAUUCAACAGGCUGGAAGAGAUGGGAGUUCAGGGGGGGCGUGCCAAGCGUUACUCGUCGCAGCGACAGAGGCCUGUCCCAGAGCCUGCUCCACCCGUGCACAUAAGCAUAAUGGAAGGGCAUUACUAUGAUACAUUACAGUUCCAGGGACCGAUCUACACCCACAGCGAGAACCCUGCCCCACUGCCUCCCCAAGGAGUGAUUGUGCAGCCAGAAAUGCAUCUCCCCCAUCCAGGCUUACACCCACACCAAACACCCGCACCUUUGGCUAACCCUGGUUUAUAUCCUCCUCCGGUCUCCAUGCCUCCUGGACAGCAGCCUCCGCCACCGCCACCACAGCAGCUGCUAGCACCAACCUACUUCUCCCCUCCUCCUGGGGUGAUGAAUUUUGGCAGUCCUAGUUACCCCUACCCUCCAGGCGCACUUCCACCACCCCCACCUCCUCAUAUCUAUUCCAACGCUCAAGCCCAAUCUCAGGUGUAUGGCGGGGUCACCUAUUACAACACAGUCCAACAGCAAGUGCAGCCAAAACCUUCACCACCCCGAAGAACAUCCCAGCCGGUCACCAUCAAGCCACCUCCCCCUGAGGUUGUAAACAGGGUUCCAGUUAACGUUUGUAAACGCUAUUAAAGGAUGCACUGCGGUGGAUUCUGCAACCAAUAUUAUGGAAGUCUGGAUCCUAUCCAAGAACCAUAUUAUUGGUUACUGGUUUACUAGAAAGCUGUGGACACUGAGGCAUGGCAGGGUCACCAGGAUAGCCUGAAGUGUCUGUUAAAGGGAAGACUGGAUGAAAUGGUCAAGUAAACAUGGCAACUGUAAAUCUCCUGCAGAAUCAGGACAGUAGAAAUGAAAAAUCCAAAGAGAGGAACACCACCUAAGGACUCUGCAUGUUGCUGGAUUCAAUAGAGUACCAGAGCUGGCACCUGUGGCAGGCAGAAGGCAGCUCCUCUAUGUGGAGGCUCUCUCUUCUUCUUUCCCUGGUAAUAUAGGCGACGCUUCUGGAUGCUGGAGUGCCUCCUGUGCCAUACCGUGUCAGUAUUGUGACUGGGGCCAGGUUCCAUAGGAGGGUACCAGCAAAACCACAUAUCUUGUCGGCACCCCCAUUCCCCCACUAUAGCCUGAAACAGAGAAACUCUGCAGACAUUGUUGGAUGUAAGAAAGACCUGCUCGCAGAGAGAAACCAUCUGCAUUCUGUUCCCUUCUAAGUGUGUGGAGUGUUUUAAGUGUUGAACUAAAAUUGCCCGAUUCGUCUUUGUGUUAAUUUCCUAUUGGAAGAACCCGACAUUACUUGCUUUCUGUUCUGUUUAUACUGGUCUUGUUAACUUUUCUUGAGUUGUAUGAAUCUGUUGUCCUUGGCUAAUUUCUUCAGUAAUAUAUUUUAAAAGUAAGUCAUACUACUUGUGCAAAUUCUGUUAGUUUCUUGCAUUGAAAUUAUAGAGGAAUCUGGGAAAGGGCUACCGAAUCUAAAGCUGCUCCCCCUCCUCCCGAAAACCUCCCAGUUUACACAAGAUUGUUCUUGUGUAAACCAACAGGGACAUCUGUGGGUACCCUGUAGACAUAAAACUGUGUGAUCUGGCCAGCCCCAGUAUGUCCUCUAGAAGGGGCCUUUUUCUGCCUCUUGAAACAGCACUGACCAAUUUUCAGAAUUCUUGAAACGAUACCCCACAGGCUCUCAGCCUGCUUGCCUGCAAUUUGCAGAUUUUUUUUUUCCUUGCAAGCUGCAUGGCUUCCACCAAAUCCCCCACUCUUUGUAUGUAUUUUUCAAUAUACUGUACACACAAAACCAUGCUAGGGGGAGGCAAACCUCAAUUGGCUAAUAUACAACCACUCUGACUGGAGGAAGGAGAUGUCUAGAACUGGAAUGACCCUGGCACCGGAUUUCUGACCCUGUCAUUAUUCCAGGCUUGUCUGCUUUUCUGGGUGAUUCUGCCCCCCCAUGCAUGUGUAGUUUCCUAACUCGUACCAGGACUUGCCAUUUUUUUUUUAAAAAAUUGAUAACUCCUUUUUUAGUUUUUAAAUGAGUACAGCUGGCAUUGUAAGGAAAAGACCUUUAUGUUCUAAAUGUAUUUUUUCCCUCUGCCUUAAGGUUUGAAAUGUAUCCAUUUAACAUAUCAGUCUUGAAAUCUUAGACCUAACGACACUGUGAUAGCUAAUUUUUGUUAAUAAAUUUUUUUGUUCCCAUUGUU